GUAACGCGAGUGAAGCGGGGUGAGCUCAAAUUUAAAAUCUGGCCGGUUUACUGGUCCGAAUUGUAGUUAAAGAAGCGUUUUCGGUGGCAGCCUGGGUAUAAAUCCUUUGGAAUAGGGUAUCAUAGAGGGUGAGAAUCCCGUCUUUGACUCAGUGCAUGCUACUAUGUGAUACGUUUUCAAAGAGUCGAGUUGUUUGGGAAUGCAGCUCAAAAUGGGUGGUAAAUUUCAUCUAAAGCUAAAUAUUGGCGAGAGACCGAUAGCGAACAAGUACCGUGAGGGAAAGAUGAAAAGAACUUUGAAAAGAGAGUUAAACAGUGCGUGAAAUUGUUGAAAGGGAAACGUUUGACACCAGUCAUGCGGGUGGAAAAUCAGUCUUUUGGAGUGGGGAGUGGUAUAGGUUUGGACCGCAAGGCCGCCCUGUGCUUCAUUUCUGCUUCAAGUGAUGCACUUUUUCAUUUUGCAGGUCAACAUCAGUUUUUUCCGCUGGACAAAACUCCGAGAGAAGGUAGCAGCUUAGGCUGUGUUAUAGCUCUGGAGCGAUACAGUGGAGAAGACUGAGGUUUUCGCAGCGUGUGCUCUCGGGCAAGGCUGACUGGGUGCUAUGAGAUUGUUCGACGUACAAUGCAUGCAUUUUGCGACGUGUCUUUUUCAUACUCGCUCAGCUCAGCUCUUCCACGCUUAGGAUGUUGACAUAAUGGUUUUAAACGACCCGUCUUGAAACACGGACCAAGGAGUCUAACAUAUAUGCAAGUGUUUGGGUGGCAAACCCAUACGCGUAAUGAAAGUGAACGUAGGUGCCAUCCGCAAGGUGCAGCAUCGACCGAUCUUGAUAUUUUUGGAUAGAUUUGAGUAAGAGCAUAUAUGCUGGGACCCGAAA
RNAcentral lists this ribosomal RNA (877 nucleotides) under uncultured fungus. RNAcentral's name for it is "eukaryotic LSU rRNA". It matches the Rfam family "Eukaryotic large subunit ribosomal RNA", at positions 83 to 821 of the family's 3401-position model. The record is from RNAcentral. Lineage: Eukaryota; Fungi.